RNAcentral lists this ribosomal RNA (761 nucleotides) under uncultured bacterium. RNAcentral's name for it is "bacterial SSU rRNA". It matches the Rfam family "Bacterial small subunit ribosomal RNA", at positions 28 to 776 of the family's 1533-position model. The record is from RNAcentral.
AUUGAACGCUGGCGGCAGGCUUAACACAUGCAAGUCGAACGGUAACAUAAGAAAAGCUUGCUUUUUUUGAUGACGAGUGGCGGACGGGUGAGUAAUGCUUGGGAAUCUGCCUUAUGGAGGGGGAUAACUACGGGAAACUGUAGCUAAUACCGCAUAAUAUCUACGGAUUAAAGUGUGGGAUCUUCGGACCAUAUACCAUAAGAUGAGCCCAAGUGAGAUUAGGUAGUUGGUGAGGUAAAGGCUCACCAAGCUGACGAUCUCUAGCUGGUUUGAGAGGAUGACCAGCCACACUGGGACUGAGACACGGCCCAGACUCCUACGGGAGGCAGCAGUGGGGAAUAUUGCACAAUGGGCGCAAGCCUGAUGCAGCCAUGCCGCGUGAAUGAAGAAGGCUUUCGGGUUGUAAAGUUCUUUCAUUAGUGAGAAAGGUAUAAAUGUUAAUAGCAUUUGUAAUUGAUGUUAGCUAAAGAAGAAGCACCGGCUAACUCCGUGCCAGCAGCCGCGGUAAUACGGAGGGUGCGAGCGUUAAUCGGAAUAACUGGGCGUAAAGGGCAUGCAGGCGGUUACUUAAGUCAGAUGUGAAAGCCCCGAGCUUAACUUGGGAAUUGCAUUUGAAACUGGGUGACUAGAGUCCUCUAGGGAGGGGUAGAAUUCCACGUGUAGCGGUGAAAUGCGUAGAGAUGUGGAGGAAUACCGAAGGCGAAGGCAGCCCCUUGGGAAUAUACUGACGCUCAUGUGCGAAAGCGUGGGGAGCAAACAGG